Molecule: long non-coding RNA, 13131 nt
Filed under: Populus trichocarpa (black cottonwood)
Lineage: Eukaryota; Viridiplantae; Streptophyta; Magnoliopsida; Malpighiales; Salicaceae
Description: long non-coding RNA (PTRI_LNC000020)
Source: RNAcentral
GGUCAAGCUCCGCACUAACAAGCUCCAAGAGGAGUGUUUUGCCAAACAGGUCUGUAAAAUCAUCCAGUCCUCGUUCUAUCCCUAUUUCUGUCCAAAAAUCAACAACUGUUUGUUUCACAGUCACCACAGCCUUAACAUCUGUGGACUGCUGUGUGACACUAGCUAUAGAUUUAAUGCUUCCAUGUUUAUAGCCAACACGAACUUUUUUGUUUGCUUUAGUGGACAAGGACCUUGAAUACACAGGAAAAGAAGCAUGACCACUGCCAUGGAUGAAUGGUUUAGGUAGUAGAAAAGGGAUUUUUGUUGAAAGGUGUGACUGGUGAAGCUGUGGCUUCAACAUUGUUGCUAAUAGGAGAGGAGAUACUUAGGUUUAACUAGGAGUUUGUUGUAUGAAAAUCUGUAGUGAGCAAGCUAUGAUAUAUAGAACGAGAGAGAGAGAGAGAGAGGAACAUGUUUUUCAUUUGGUCUAUAAUCCAUGCACGUGAUACAUGAAUUAUUGGCUUGCAACUUGCAAGAUAACUAUAUUUGUUUACAGGUUAUCAUAACAUCAUUUACAUGUUCAAAUUCAAAGAAAAUUGUCAAAAAUAAAUUUCUCAUGAAAGAGUGGAUUUUAUUGGUAUUUCUUUUUUCUAUAUAUGCUGAUACGUACAAAGUUAUGAUUGUCCCAAGAAAAUCAAUUCUUAUAAUUUUGUUUAUCUUUUAAAUAUAUUUUAUUACACAGAAAUAUUUGUGUGUACAAGAACCUUAUAAUUAAUAGCUUAGCUUUAAUAUUUAGCUAGAUAGGAAAAUUAUAUCUGCUUGAUAGGGAUUAAUUUGACAAACAUUACGAAGUUGAAGAAUUACUCUAGUCUUCCAUCACAAUGAGAAAUAUUUUUGUGUCAAAUUCUUUGAAACAAGGAUUAAUACCUACGCUAGACUCGAUUCAAAAAUAAGAAUUGAAGAUAUACUUGAUGACAAUACUUUUUUUUUUAGCUUUAAAUGUCUAUUAAGCGAAAGGAUUAACAGAAUAGUAUUCAAUUUCAAUAUUGCACCCCCAAAAAUGAGAUUGUAGCUUACUUGAACGGGAAACCUCCCCCAGCAGCUAAAGUCACUGCUAAAAUAAACUUUAAGUUACACAGACUAUAUUUCGACCACAAAUCGUUAAUGAUCUUAUCUAUCCAUGGAUCCUGUCUCUUACUAACCGCACGUGGAAGGACCACUCUUUUACCUUACAAAUGAUUUAUAGUUUUUUAAUGGGUUUUUUUCUACAGAGGGAUUGAUUUGUUUUGUUUUUUGAAUUUUUUAAAACAAAGAAAAAUCAUCUUGUUUUUUUCAAAUAUUUUAUUGUUAAUCAAACACUACCAGAAAAUUGAUAAAUACAAAUGAAAAUUUGACCACCCCAACAUUCAAUCUGUCAGCAUCCUUGUUCUUAUUAAAUAUUUUUAAAGAUUCCUUACAUCAAGUAAGCAAAACUAUCUAUUUUUUGUUUAAACUCAAUUUGAAAAUUUUAAUUUUUAUUAUAUAUUUUUGUAGUAUAUAUAGUUUGUUUGCGUGUUUACUUGUUUUAUAGCUUCUCCCACAUGAAUUUGUUGUAUGAAUGUAUGGUUUAUACAUGUUAGAGUUUGUUUGAGAUUUUAAAAUUAAAUUUUAAUUUGUUUGUAAUUUGAUGAAAUUGAUUUUGAAUUUGUGACUUAAGUGUUUUCUAAUUAAAUAAAUAAUAGCUUAUUUAAUGAGCCUGUUUUAUAUUUUGACAAUUUUAUUGUUGAGUUGAAAAUUUUGGUAAAUAUAUAGGAAUUUCAAUCUAUGUACAUAAUUGAUAAUGAUUUAAGAAUACUAUUAAAAUAGAUUGAAUAAGUUUGAUUUAAAUUAAUAUUAGCUAAUUUAUUUAGUUUACAAAAUUAAUUAAUAUAUGUUGUCAUCAAUAUUCUAUAUAGGUUUAAUAUAAGUAAUGGAUGAUUGUUCAUGGAUGUAUCGAGAUUCACCCGAAAGGUUGUGCAGGAUGAAUUAUUGUAAUUAGGUUAAGGGUUUUAUUAAUUACAUACUGUCUAAUCCAAAAAAUAUUAGUUGACGCGAUACUAGAUGUCCAUGUAAAAAGUGUAAAAAUAAAAAGUUUCUCGAUCCAGAUGUUAUAACGAUACAUCUUCUACAAUAAGUAUUCAUUGAGAAUUUUUUGUAUUGAUUUGCACACAAAGAACCAUAUGUUUCUUACAAGAUCAUAAUAGAAAAUAUGAUUAGGUCAAUUCUAAUUCUAGAAACGUGUAUGGAGUUGUAGAUUAUAAUAGUAAUUCUUAUAGGAAUAUGGUUAUGAAUGCGAUAAGAAUGAAUCAAGGUCAUGCAAGUGAAUCUCUAGUCAUAGAUGAAAAACCAAAUGCAAACGCAACUAGGUUUUUUUUAUCUUUUGAAAGACUUUGAUGAACCAUUAUGGGAUGAGUGCACAAAUUAUAGUAAACUAUCGAUCAUUGCAUAGAUGUUCACCAUCAAAUCAGAUCAUGGGUUGAGUGAUGAGGUCAGUUACGAGAAAAUUGUUGAAUGAGCCAGAAGCAUUUUACCAGAAAAGAAUAGGCCGAAAGAAAACUUCUAUGUUAUUAAAUCCAUGAUAAAACCUCUCGACUUAGGAUAUUAAAAAAUUGACAUGUGUCCAAACAUCUUCAUAUUGUACUACCUUGAAAAUACAGAGUUGACCGAGUAUAGAGCAUAUGGGCAUGCUUGUUAUAAACCAAAAACUGGCAGGGUAAGGACUCUUAUCGCACAUAAAAAAACUUAGAUACUUCUAAAUCUCUCCUAGAUUGCAAAAGUUAUUUAUGUUUUCAAAGAUUGUUAAACACAUAACAUGACAUCAUUCACAUGAUGUGGUGGAUGAAGUCAUGGUGUUCCUAUUCGAUGAUAAAGCCUUGAAACAUUUUAAUUUGGAGCAUCCUCAAUCUUCAAUGAAAUCAAGGAACAUGUGUCUUUAAAUUUUUAAAUUUUUUCUUUUUUUUUUCUUUUAAAAUUUGAUUUUUUUUUCUAAUUUCAUCCUUCAAUAUUAUAGUAAUUGUUACCAAAUUCUCUCACUAACAAUUUUUUUUUUUAAAAGAAUCAUCAAAAGAACAAAAGAAAAUAUAUUACAGUGAACUAACCAUUCUAUGGGAUCGACUUGAUAAUCAAGGAGAUUUGCUUCAUCGUUUUUUUUUUAAUUCGAAGUUUGAUUAGUUCUUCUAGAUGCGCCAAAUUUUUAAUAGUUCAGAUAAUAUAUUUAAUCUUGAUUGAUAAACAAUCUAAUCCAUGUAUAUAUAAAAAGAAUUUAGUUUAGUUAUAAAAUAAAUAGAUUUAACCUCAAUUCUUCAAAAUAGGUUAAAGAAAAUAAAUUUAUCGUAACACCGUGAUAUAUUAUAAAUAUGCCUGUGGACUGUACAAAUAAUGCAGCAAUUGCAAAAGGGCAUUUAUUUUUUGGGAUGUCAAGUCAGGCAUGGACAAGGUACAUUCAUUCACGUGCAUCAUCUCAUGGAGUCCAGAUAAGACAUUAAAGAGAGAACAAUGGUGCGAUAUAUCCUUGCUUUAAAGUGUUGUCCAACAUGCUUCUUCGUUUUUGACAAUAUGUUCAAACAAGAUAUGGAAGCCAGAAAAUAUGAUAGAAAAUAUCUGUCGUCAUUCAAAGAGGAUCACUCAUUUUUUCCCUUCAUUUUCUUUUGGUACCAUAGUUAUUAAAUCUGAACUGGCUGGGUUGAUUUAAUAGCUGUACUGAUCUAAAUAAAGUAAAUGAUUAGAAAAAGCAAUAAAAUAGUCAAACUCAGUUGGUUUACCAGAUCGACCCAUGACCUGGCAAAACCUAGUUGGGUUUUGAUUUAUUUUAAAUGUGUUUUUUCUCAUAAUUAGAAACUCCUCUUUUUUCAUAUUUUUUUAGUUGUUUAUUAACCUUUUUUAAAGUUCAUUAUAUAAAUACUAAAAGAAUUUUUUUUUUAAUGUGGGAUUUAAAACUGUUUAGUAUAUAUAUUUUAUGUUUACAAGACAAAAAAUUAUUUUUUCAAUAUGGGAUCCGAAGCCCUUUAAUAUAUAUAUUCUAUGUUCACAAGAAAAAAAAUAUGUUUUUUCAAUGUGGGAUAAAAAACUUUUUUGAUUUAAAUACUUCAACUUAAAAGGAUAACAUAAUAUCUUUUCAACAUAAGAUAAAAAAUAUUUUGAAAUAAUAUUUUAAACUUCAUUAUUUACAACAUGUAUAGCUUAUAUUUACAUGAAUUGUUUCUUAAUUUUUUCAUAUGAAAUAUUAAAACUUUAAAUAUAUAUUUUUUUAAUUUUUCCGAGUUAAUUCGGGUUGACCUAGGUCAACCCGUAUAACCCGGGAUCUGACCCUUUAAUCAGGUCAACUCCUAAAUCGAGUUUAAUAACUAUGUUUGAUUCAUCUAAUAUCUUAUUACAUUUUAUUAAUCACCAUAAAUUAUGAUUAAUUGUGAGUAUGUUUUUACUCUAAUCAGCUUCGCAUAUGAAUUCAAAACCUAAUUUCGACUGGUUUUAAUUUCAUAAAAAAAUAAUAAAGAGAUGGGGCAUGUUUUAAUAACUUUAUAAUUUCGUUUAGAUAUUUUUCUUAAAAAUAAAUUAACCUAGAUUAAUUAACUUAUAUAAUCUAAAACCCGAGCGUUACGUCGUAUAUAGUCUAAUAACUAUAAGUUUUUACAAUGAACGAAAGAAAAUGCAAAAAUUAUUGAAAUGGGUCAUCAAUCAGUAUCCUAUCAGCCAAGUACAAGAGAUGGGGCUAGCUAGUUGAUGACGGUGUCUUGUCGUUGAAAAUGAUGCAUAUCUGCUGCAUGUGUUUUUACAUUGAACCAUCAAUCCAUCACCAUCACGGUCUGUAUGGGUUUCCAUGUUGCUAGGUUCAUUUGGUUUUCUGGUUUUUUUUUCUUCGUUAUUCUUCAUUUUUGGGGGUUUGAUCUGUUGUUCAAGUUUUUUUUAAGUUUUUUGUGUUUUUUGCAAGUUCAAUCUAUUUUGGCUUUGGUUUUUGUUUUCGGUUCGUUUUUGGAUCAAAGCAAGAUUUUUUAUUCGGUUCAUGGUCAAACCAUAUAUUUUAAGUCAAUCCAGUCGAGUCAACCUAGUCAGUCAACUCAAUCAAGUUAACCUAGUUAGGUCAUUUAAAAAAAAUCCGAAUCACAAGACUUAUACCCUCUUUGGUUUUGUCAUUUUUUUUUGUUAAGGGUGUCUUGGUUUAAGGGUGUUUGACAAACACCUUUAGACUUAUUUUAUUUAGUUUUAUUACAAAAAAUAGUUUCUUUUACCAAACAAGACUUAAAAAAUAAUAAUAAAUAUUUUUUUUUUUUUUACAUAUGGCUAAAAAUCCAAAAUUUAUUUGAGCAUAUUUUUCAAGAAAAUUUUAAACACUCUUGGCAUUUUUUUUUAAAAAAUAUAUUGCAUGGAUUUUAUAAUUAGUUUGCAGAAUUCUAAAGGAUUUUGGUUUGUAUUUAAUUUUUUUUUUUGCAAGAAAAUAUUAUUCAUUUUUAAUAUAAGGAUAAAAAAAAACCUAAAAAGAGCUAAUAUCCAAAAUAUUAUUAGGAAUAAUAAUUAUAUUAUUUACUUUUAAUAUAAGGAUUAAAAAAAACCUAAAAGGAGUUAAUAUCCAAAAUAUUAUUAGGAAUAAUAAUUUUAUUCCUCACUUUAGUAGAAGGAUAAAAAACCUAUAUGAGGUUAAUAUCCAAAAUAUUAUUGUUAAUAAUGCAACUCAUUCACUUCUAAUAUAAAGAUAAAACCCAUAAGAAAUUUUAUCUAAAAUAUUAUUUGGAAUGACGUAGCAACCCAAAAAGAAUUUAAGUUUUUCCUUGAAAGAAGUCUCAACAAUAAUUGAGGAUAUUUUACUUUUCCAGACUGGGUUCUUGACCUAGAAAAUUAAGAUUUGUUCAUUGUAGCGGACCCCUCAUAAUAAGUCAGUAGAAAUAGAUAUCAUCAGACCAUAGCAAACAAUAAAAAAAAAUGAAGCUUACCCUUAGGUAAGGCGUUUAGGAAUGCUAAUACUUUCCUUUUAUGUAAUCAAUUUCUUGCUUAAAAUAUAUAUAAAAAAAACACAAAAACUAGUUAGAAUUCCUAACAAUAAUAUUAAUUAGAUUGCAACUCUCUACCCAAAUCAAAGACCAUUCUAAAAGACAUUGCUUGAGAAUUGUCACCGCGACAUCACGCUAUCGCUAGAAGGGUAUCAGCAUUAAGUUGGUAAACGUAGUACAAAUUUGAAUAUACGAUUUCUUUUCGGUCAUUGAAAGGCGAGAAUCAUGGUGAAGGAACUUUAUUUAAUUCCUUUUUUAUGCUUAUAUUUAUGAAAAAUUAACAUUUUUUUUUCUUCUAUUUUUGUUAGUGUUGGAUAUAAUCUCAAAUCUUUAUUUUUUGUUUCCUUUUUAUGCUUUUGGAUUUUGAUAUUUUGGGGGAUGGAAUUUGAGCUGUCCAACGAAGAGAGGAUGAAAUAUCUGAUAGGCCAAUGGUAGAAUGACAUGUGGAUGAAGUUGCUAGGGUUUAUCAAAUUUGUUUUACUCCAUUACUGGCAAGUAUUUUUUUUAUAAUACUUUAUGAUUUUAUGUACUUUAUCAUGCAGAAUAUGGCAUUUUAAAAAAUUCCAAAAAUUCAUUUUGUCACAUGAAAGAGACUAUUGGUUAAUUUGUCAGCAUUUAAAUAACUUACAAAAUUAAUGUCCCUAUCCUACUUUUGUUUUCUAUUGUGCCUUUGUCGUUGAGGGAUUCUAUUCGACUAUUCAAAGAAAGGGAAGAAUAUUCAAACUUUUCUUUGACUAGCUGUUUAAAAUAGAUUAUGCUAAGAAAUUUUUGUUUUGCAGUAAUAAAAUCCGAUGAUUAAACCGUUUGUAAUUUUUUAAAAAAUGAGAUUGAAUCCUUCAUUGUAGAUCGGUGUAGAAAUUAUAGAUGAAAUUUUUGGAUUGGUAGGGUAUUAAUUGUUGUAUCUCCUAUUGUGUGGAUGAUUUAUUACAUUAGUGGCCCAACCUAGUAUUUGAAAAAUUCCAGCGUAAGGCUUGAUCUAUGCUUUCUUGUUGUGUUAGCUGGAGUAUAUGGCUUAUGAGAAAUAAUAUUAUCUUCAAUAAUAGAACUGCGACCUUCAAAGAUAGCUUCCCCUUAAUUCUAUAUCGUCUCUCGAAUUUGCUCAAGUUUAUAGAUAAGUUCUUCAUGGUUACUGGAACAUAUUUGAUUAUGGGGCUUGAAGGUAUUAUAAAUUCAUCUAACAACACCAAAUCAAGGUUUUAAGCAUGAUGCAUAAGCUCUUUCAGUCUCAAUAUUUUUUUUUCUGAUUUGUUUUGCUUUUUUUUUUUUUUGUCUGCUUUUAGUUUUUGUAAAUUUUUUUUCUUUUUUUUUUCUUGUAUCUUGCUUUUGGCUAUCUUCUAGUUAGCCCUUUUCAUAUAUCGAUUUCUUUCAAAAAAACAAAAAAAGGAAAUAAUGUUCAAUCAUAGGGUAUCUCUCGACCAAAAUCGGUGAGGCUGAUCAGUUUACACCAAGGUACUCUUUUUAUAAUGUUCGCAUAUAUGUGUUUAUACAAUGUUAAAAAUGUUCAACAUUCAUCAAGAAUAUGAUAUAAAUUAUUUUAGUAAAUCCUCUAAAAAAAUACCAUUAAAAACAGAAUUAUUUUCACUAAUAUGUUUUUUUUCCUUGUUAUCUAAUCAAAAGUUAAUUGUUAUUAUAUGAUAUGAAAAGAAAAUUAACAGAAUGACAGGUAGCUCCCCUCUAGUCCACAAAUCCUGAAAUAUUUCUGGCUAUAAGAUCAAUAAACGGGAUAUUCUCAAUUAUUCUAUGGGAAAGAUAUCGAUCAAUUACCUACAACCCUGUAAAUCCAAUGUUGGUCGACUAAAGCUAAUCGAUUAAAUUCCUUCGUUAAAUCUACAGGGAUUGCUUUCAAUUAUCUGAUCUUUUAGGCAAAUGCAAGAAGAAACAACUUAGCGCAACACUAUUCCACCAUAUUGUUUUAUUUUUUUUUCAUACCAUUACAAGUUUUCAAACUUCAGAUAGAGAUGCUGUAAGGAACUCCUUUUCCUGUAACUCCAGGGUCAGAAAAUGGCUUCAAAAGCUCAUAAGGCACAACGCCAGCUCCGUUUCUAUUCUUCAAUUUAAUGUCAGCAUUCCUUUCAUCAAUAAUUCCUUCAAACUCCUUCAACCUCCCAUUGAACUUUACGAAAGCCGCAUUUAUAGCCGGUUCCUCUGUCCAUGCUGGCUCUAUUUCCUGCCCAAGAUACUCCUCAUCGGGAGAAUGAUUUGAUAGCACAUCCAAUAUAGCCAUCACUGUUGUAGCCUGAAUUUGUGAAGGGAAUGUUGUCAAUAGUAUCACUUCAGGUUUCUCCCAAAAUAGUUUCAGCAACUCAUCGUUCGGGUCUUCGGUUGGCAUAUUCAUCCUAGCAGUUGUAGGCCUAUUUGGAAAGUAUCCUGCAUAUGUAUAUUGUCCGAAAUUCACUGCGGCAUGAUGACCGGAGGCUAUCCAUAUGAUAGUUGUCAGGGUUUCAAUAAGGUCCUGAGGUGUUUUAAGCACAGGCCACCAGGGUUCAUCUUUCUUGUCAGCGUGACCUACCGUUCGAACUUCUGUCCACCAUGCUUGGAGCUCAUUAUCAGACACAAUGAGACUUGAGUCUGCAUAGUAGUGAUUGACAUAGUCACUAACCCACUCUUUGAUGAUAUCCCAUAAAACCAAACCAUCAUUGGCAUAUGGAUAGUCUUCCACCAUCAAUUUCAAUCCAUGUGGAGCAGAUGGAUCUUCCACAGCCAUUCCCCUGUCAAUUAUCAGAAUCAGAAAGAAAAUGUUUUAACUAGCAGCCGCUUCAAAAGGCUUAUUAAUUAUGACUAGCAGCAUCUAAGUUUGGUAGAAUGAUAGGCUAGCUAAGGAUCGAUCAAACAUACCUGUUUAUUAGAUCCUUGGGCAGCGCCUCGUAGUCAAACCGCCAUUCUUGAUCAUAGACAACAGAGCUUAAUUCCAUAGAAUACUUGCCAGGAAAGAAUGACGUCUCUAUAACCCCUUUUGCACUAAUUAGAUAUUGUCGAGCUAGAGCAUUGAUCUCCAUUGUGUACCGGAAAUGCGGGUGCAAGAGUCUGUAGAUUGGAUGCAUUUCACUAAGUUGGCGAUUGGCCGCGAUUAUGUAUGGUUCUGUGCAGCAAUGUGUUCUUAGCCUGCAAAAUAUAACAUAUGAUACAUGUUUGUGAAUCGAUUCAAAUCCUAUUUUUUUCAUCGCAACUUCGAACAAACCGAAAAUUUUUGUGCAUUAAUGCAAGGCGGCUGCUAACUCAAGCGCAACGAAAGCGCAUACCAGUGACUAAUAAGUUGGUGAUAGCCAGACUCAUGUGCAAGGACAUGAGCUUUGGCAAGCCUCCAAAGCCAAACACCAGUGGAAUGCCAAGCUGGUCUAAACACUUGCUUCCAUUGCGGCUUACCAUCCAUCGGUGGUCGAGUGAGCUCAAUAGCUAGUGGUCUCAAUGUUCCUUCAUGGGUUAAGAAGAACAAUGUCCGUGACCCGUAUAGUGUCGUGCCUUUCAGCUCUCUUAUUGUGCUUACGAAAGGUAGGAAUAAAUCAUGGUAGUCAAGGAUGAAAAGCUUCUGAUCUUUUACUGCCUACGUUCAUCAAUGCACCGAAUUUAGUUUGUUAAGAGGAAAAUCAAGAUGAGUUUGAAUACCGUUACGCGAUUGGUUUUCUACUUCAUACCUGUCCACAUGUCAUGAACCCUUUGAUUUCUUGCUCAACCAUUUCUGCAGUGAUUGCUGAUUCUUGGGGACCGUAGAUUUCAGGGUCUAGUUUACUCCUUAAUGGCCAUUCCUGCAUGAUUUAAUGCAAUACUUUCAUCAAGAAAAGAGUAAUGUUUCAGCAUCGUUAGUUUUAAUAUUACCAACAUUUGUGAAUAAUUGAUUCAUUUCUUGAUGAACCGCAUGAACCUGGACUGGUUUUUCCUUUCUUAUUAAUGGACAAAAAUACUAUACCGUGACCAUUUUGAUGCAACAAGGGUUGAGACCAGAAAGAGUCUGUCUAGCAAAUUCUUCAUCCCUGAACCAAAAAAAUCUGUCUCCUGAAACACAAAAACUCUUAAAAUGAGAAAAUGAUAGAUAUCUUUUCAUUUAUGAUUGAUUUAUUAAUUUCCCAUGUCGAAUCUAGUUCUUAUUAUAGGUAUAAAAAAUAUCUUACUCUCCAUGGUAUCAGGAGUCUCAAAUUUCAAGACAUCUUUAGUUCCAUCAGUUAUGGCCCUGAAAAGGUUAGGCAGAAGAUCUUUCCAAAACCCCUGUUUCUUAAGGGGAGGCAAAUUGAUUCCUUCAUUGAAUAGUGCGUCAAUGGAACUGAAGAAUGGGAAUCCAAGUUCACUGUCAACAAUAGCGGUUGAUAGAGAAGGUACUAGGGCAUGCAAUACUGAUUUGAGAGUCUUGGCAGAAAACGUGCCCAUCUUUACUUCUGAGAAUUCUUCAUCUCGAGGAACGUAGAAGCUGCUACUCCUUGUCUCCGUAAGUGGAUCUAUCACCACAAUUGUUUCCAAAUGGUUAGAAUCAAUGAAGGAAAAAAUUAUUUUCCAUGAUUUAGUUAAUAGGUACAGAUUAACAGUUAUAUAUUUGACAAUUUCUUUUAAUAGAUAGGUUUUAGUUUAGUAAUUCUAUUUUAUUUGAUUAUUAUAUAAUGAAAGAAGGAUUAUUUCCAUUAUGUAGAUUAAGAUAAGCCUUUUUUUUAAAAAAAAAAAAAAACAUUUUCUUAUCGAGUUUAUGCAAGCAAAGUUAUUAAAUCUACCCAGUUUAAAGCUUAGGUUAAUGAUUAUACAGAUUAAUCAAGAUUAAUUCAAAAAAAUCAAAAUAUUUUUAUUCAAUUUCAAAAACUAAGUGACUCGUUUCAAAUCUAUUUUUUUUUUAAAUCAAAUUAUAUUUUAACAUGACUUUGAUCUACUUAAUUAAAUACUAGAUUUACUCGGUCAAUUUUUAUCUGAUUUAUUUUAAAAUCUAUAAAUGUUGAUUUGUUAAACUGGAUUUAAGAACAUCGGAUGAAAGGAUCGUAAUUAUUUUUCAAACACAAUCCAACACUAGCUUGGUCAUGGAUCAGACAGGGAAUUUCACUCUAACAAAAUAUUUUUGUUCAAUUUUUUUUGAACAAAAAACUAAGCGACUCGUUUCGAAUUAAUUUUUUUUCAUUAUUAUUUUUCGAACACAAUCCAGCACUACUAUUUUUUUCAUUAUUUUUCUGCAUUUUUACCUGACUCGGUCCGUGGUCGGCCAGUACGGCAACGCCUAGGGUACGGGUGCUCUUUGCCACCUAGCACCGGCCUUGCUGUCUCUGGAUCACUAUCAGGAUUUCCAAGAUCAUUGUACACAUCAUAGUCAUAGAUCCUUUCACCUUUCUUUCGUUCUCCAUUGUCAUUGCCUCGUAAAGUCUCGAGUUCUUCCUUUCUCAGUUUUGUCAAUCCGUUUGGUGUUUCUGAUGGCAAGUAUGACUAUUCCAUGAAACACAAAAAUCAAUCAGUAUAAAAAAUUCUGUUAUGUGGGAUAUUUUAUAAGAUUAAAAUAAUUUUUUUUAAAAUUUUAUUUUUGAUAUUAAAAUAUUAAAACAAUCUAAUAAAUUUAUUUAAAACAAAUAUUUAAUUUAUAAAUAUUUAUAUGAGUCGAGAUUAUUUUUUUUAUUUUUACCAUAUCCAUGACCUGAAAACUUCACAUGGUAAUAUUGACAUUAUCGUGAGAAAAAUAAAUAUCUAUAAAUCAUGAACGUUGAGUUAAAGCAUAUAAAGUAUACAUAUCAGCUCCCCCAAUGGAUUAUAUCUUGUGAUUUUAUCUUUGUAUUGUUUUUCUAGUUAUUCACUAGCUCUUUCAACAAAACGUUUAAUGUAAAUUUAAUUUUUUAUAUAUAUAAUUUUCCUCAAUUUAUUCUUAUUUUAUAUUAUUAGUGUGAUAAAGUUGAAAUUUUCAGAACAUUCAAACUGACAGAAGGGGAUUGGAUCAGCCCACACAUAACAUCCACAAAUGCCACCAAAAUAUUUUUAAGAAAAAAAAAUUGUACAUAAAUUACCAUAUAUAUAUAUAUAUAUAUAUAUAUAUAUAUAUUAAGAAAAAUGUUUAUCAAACAUGGUAAUUAAUUAAUAAUAAUGUCAAAUUAAACAAAAGAAAAAGAUCUUGGAUCACAAGAGAGAGGUAAGUAACUGUUAGAGAAUAAUAUAAAUUAUAACUUUUUAGGUUGAAAUAGUUUUUUGACAUAAUAUCAAAGUUUUGAUGACCAAGCGGUUACAAGUUCAAAUCUCAUCAUUCACAUCUAUUUGAUAAAAAAAUUAAGCAUAAGAUAUUGUGAGUUUAUGCAAGUUUCAAGUCUAAAGAGCUUUCACUUGAAGAGGUGUGUUAAAGAAAAAUAUAAAUAAUAUUUUUAAAUCUCACCUAACAAUUUAAACUUUUAAAUUGAGAAGUUGUUUUACAAUAACAAAUUUAUUAUAAAAAAGUAACUAACCUUAUUAGUGAAAAAGAUUCUCUUCUUUUCAUUGUCAAACUUCGGAUGGAUCCAUGAAUCGCAAGUCACAUGAACUGGUCCAGUAGGGAAGCCAUCAAGCACAACAUCAUGAAGGUACAUCUCUUUAUGGUGCUCAUUUUCAACAAAAAUGGCACCAAUCUCUCCAAAAUCUGGUGGAACCACAAAAUCCGCUUCAUACUUGAUAUCCUCUCCUUCAUGAUCUAUCUUGUGCGCGUACUUUCGAAUUGAGGGCUUCUCUAAUCCCGUCUCUAGAGAAAUUGAAAAAAAAAAGUUGGAAUUUAGACAAGGAAUAAACUUUUUUCCUUUUUUUUAAGUGGGUACGGACAGUUUUUUUACUUGCACAAAUUUUUUCUUGCUUCAAUCAUUCAAAUAUAUAUAUAUAUAUAUAUAUAUUUCUUUGCAAACAAGGAAUAUAUGUUAAUUUUUUUUAAUAAAUAAAUCAUUCGAUAAGAACUUAAAAGGUUGUUUCUUGCACUUGUAAAGAAAAAAGAAAAAUAAAAUACUUGGAACACAGGUCUUUCAAGAAGCACUGCUUACUUGGGUCAAGCUCGGCACUAACAAGCUCCAAGAGGAGUGUUUUGCCAAACAGGUCUGUAAAAUCAUCAAGUCCUCGUUCUAUCCCUAUUUCUGUCCAAAAAUCAACAACUGUUUCUUUCACAGUCACCACAGCCUUAACAUCUGUGGACUGCUGUGUGACACUAGCUAUAGAUUUAAUGCUUCCAUGUUUAUAGCCAACACGAACUUUU